UUCACAUUUGCCAGAAACUGUUCUAAAAGCUCUAGAUGUAUUAACCCAUUUAAUUUUCACAGAAAUUCUAUAGAUUAAAUAUUUCCUACCUAUUUUUUUUAGAUGAACAAGCAAAGACCCCACAAGGCUAAUUUUCAGAGCUAGUAAAUGAGAGAAGAGAACACAAGGAAAAUGAAGAAAGACAAAAUAUUAGCAUCUCUGACAUUUACAGAACAGAUGGGAGAGAAGAACCUGGAGGAAAGCUGUAAAGGGUACAUCAGAGAGUAAUGGUACAUCACUUCCCAGUGAGAAUCCGUCUCUCAGCUUUCCUUGAAGUAACAUGAGGAUAAGCACCUGUCAGUAGAAAGUGAGUAGAUAUAAAGUGUGUUACUCCUUUGUCUGGGUUUUAAGUCACUAAGGGUCCUUCUUCCAAAUAUUUUUUUCCUUACCUUCCUUGGCCAGAG
This is a long non-coding RNA of Pan paniscus (pygmy chimpanzee), 443 nucleotides long. NCBI's taxonomy places the organism in Eukaryota, Metazoa, Chordata, Mammalia, Primates, Hominidae. The record is from Ensembl.